CUGCGACCCCAGGUCAGGCGGGAUUACCCGCUGAAUUUAA
This 40-nucleotide ribosomal RNA is filed under the name Coptis deltoidea. Its description in RNAcentral is "partial 28S ribosomal RNA". Lineage: Eukaryota; Viridiplantae; Streptophyta; Magnoliopsida; Ranunculales; Ranunculaceae. RNAcentral also lists the same sequence under 3 other names. The record is from RNAcentral.